UCACUUUCCCAGCUUGUGUCACAGUUAGUUUCAGCAGGAUUCUGCAGGAUUUAGAUUUAGAGAAGGUCUCUUCUCAUGAUGGAUAUCUGUUUUAUAUUCUGAUCAGUCUGGAGUUCCAGUUGAAGAGAAAUGACUCAGAGGACUUAAAGCUGAGACAGACUGAGCACGCUCAGUUGCUGCUUCACCUGCCCCACCUCACACAGCUGACAGACAGGAUCACAUGGAGCAGAGGCCUGGACUACAAAGCAGGAUUUGGCGAUACCGAGUUAACUUCAGGUUCAACCAGGGUUUUCUGUACCACGACGGUGGAUCACCUGUUACCGGGUUCAAUCACCAAUCAAUACUCUGAUUGAUAACGGUGUCACCGUUCUUAUAGAAGAUCAGGCGGAGAGAGAGAGAGAGAGAGAGAGAGAGAGAGAGAGAGAGAGAGAGAGAGAGAGAGGUGUUCCAUGAGAAGCAGCUGCUUCAAAAUGAGCUCCUGAUUUUGGUCCUUUUUUGUUACUUUUAGUUUUCGAAAAUGAGACAAACUACCAAAUAUCUAGACUGAAAACAAAAAAUAGAAAAAGAAACAUCAGGAGGAGGAAAAAAACACAAAGAAAAACAAGAAAAUACUGAACAACUGAAAGAAACCCCCAACUGUCUACUGCCCCCAUCAGGAUGAACAAGGAAACAUCUCAGAUCUAGACCCCUGUUCCUACAGAGAGAGGAGAAACAUAGUAGUAACUCUGCUGAGAUUUUGAAGUAUUUUAUGUUAUUACUUUAAAACUCUUACUUUUUUUAAAGAAAUAUUUUGAGCUGAAGUUAAACUCUAACCGAGUAGUUAGUUAGCAUAUUAGCUAGCUAGCAAGCAGAGUAAGUCAGCCAACAGCAGCAGAACAUAGCAACUGUUGCUAAGCUCAGAAUGACCCAACCAGUCAGGCCUGAGAUAAUUCCCUACCCACCAGAGGCCAUAAGUGAGAAAAGCAAAAAAAAAUUUAAAAAACAAGUAUUGAAGGAAAGACCAGAGCGUCUAUUCACAGACUGCUACCAAAAUGGUAAUGCUUGUAAUCUCAUCUUUUACACCCCAGUGCCAAGAGCAUGGGAGUCAGCCAUCUGCUCACACUACCAGUCAGUCGAAAGAGAAGAGCUCAUCAAUGGGUGGCAAUUCACAAUUAGAGAUAACGAAGGUCCUCACAUUUGCCCCAUCACAGUCAACAUCCACACAACUGGGACAGUUAUGGUACAAGGUGACCUAAGACAGUUUGAGGAAGACUUCCAGACUAUAAAACAUAAAGUACAUCAAGCUCCAUCAAGCAGCACCACAUCUGAAGCUCCAGAAAGAGAAAAUGACCCUCCCAGUUCAGAUCUAGCUCAGAUGCAAAACACAAUGACCCCCCUUGAAGAACAGUUUAAACAACUGGAAAUAGGGCAAAAAAGUGCUCAACAAGAAAGAGACCAUCUGAAGAAUGAAGUGGCCGGCCUGACAGAAGAAGUAAGAGAACUUCAGAGAGAGAGACAGAGAGAGAGAGAAAGAGAGAGAGAAAGAGAGAGAGAGAGCAGGCAGAGCUGAACAUGCUGAUAGAGAGACUGCAGAAGAGAGAGAGAGAGAGAAAGAGUGAGAGAGAGAGAGAGAGAGAGAGAGAGAGAGAGAGAGAGAGAGAGAAAGAGAGAGAGAGAGAGCAGGCAGAGCUGAACAUGCUGAUAGAGAGACUGCAGAAGAGAGAGAGAGAGAGAGAGAGAGAGAGAGAGAGAGAGAGAGAGAGAGAGAGA
Molecule: long non-coding RNA, 1749 nt
Organism: Perca flavescens (yellow perch)
Lineage: Eukaryota; Metazoa; Chordata; Actinopteri; Perciformes; Percidae
Exons: 3
Source: RefSeq, a predicted model, not a curated record